RNAcentral lists this long non-coding RNA (833 nucleotides) under Drosophila melanogaster (fruit fly). RNAcentral describes it as "long non-coding RNA:CR43620 (Dmel_CR43620)". Lineage: Eukaryota; Metazoa; Arthropoda; Insecta; Diptera; Drosophilidae. The record is from RNAcentral.
UGAAAACAACUCGGCACAAUUUAACGCUUUGUUGCGGUCAAGUAACUUUAGAAUUCCAGUGAGUGAACAGAGCCAGCUAUUCGGACAAAAAAUAACACAAAAAAAAAAACACUCAUAAAUGAAAACAAGUGCAGAGUAAUGAAAGAAAAAGCAUGAAGACGCGUCGAGAUGAAAGGGAAUUCUUCAGCGUGUUUUUAAGCCGAUUUGAUUCUGCGUUUUGGCCAAGCCAUGCCAAUGGCCAAUGUCCAAUGGCAUUUUGAUUAACUUGAUGAUGAUGAGGCAGUCGGCGAGGAGGAUAAUGACCUUGGAUGCCUUCCGCUGUCAACGUGGGCAGUUGGCUCAUCCUCGUUUCCUCCGAAGUGGCAUUUCCUUCGAUCUCCUGAUUGCGGUUAGAUGGCCAACUUAAUAAGCCAGAUCCCCUCGAACUAAACGUGGCCGAGAAAGCAAAUUCCGGCUCACUGCGCUUUUGGCGAGGCCAUGAGCCUCUCAGCCAAGCCAACUUAAUGCCAAUAUUUUACUCAACUGGGGAUUAGUUUUACUUUACUUUUCAGCUGAUUUCUAUAUUGAGUGACUUAAAAUCCUGAGAGGCAAACGGAAGCUGGGAUAAGAGGACUUCAAAUUACCUUCUUGCUUGAUUGCUCAAGUGUGGGUUUUCAAAUAUUUUGAAAACAAAAUCCUAUGAAUAGUGGUAAUGCAUUUUCCUAAUAUCUAAGAAAACCAGCAUUGAACUUCAUAUACAUAAAUGCCGGGUAUUUUCUCCAAAUAUCUUAAAAGUUCAUUUUUGAUCCAAAUUCCAUUGCCGAUAAAUACACUAAAUUUUCCAUUCGAAUCGC